RNAcentral lists this long non-coding RNA (1215 nucleotides) under Homo sapiens (human). RNAcentral's name for it is "long intergenic non-protein coding RNA 2984". Lineage: Eukaryota; Metazoa; Chordata; Mammalia; Primates; Hominidae. The record is from RNAcentral.
CAAGGUCGCACUAACAGCUCUUGCUAACUCCUGUUCCAGGCUGUUUAUCUGGGCCUCCAAGUACCCUGCUUGCGCCUGGAGGUCUCUCACCCCCAGGUCCUGCUCAAAGCUGUGCACUUGGGCCCCCAGGCAUGCGGCUUGCUCCGGAAGGUCCCUUACCUGUGGCACUGAGCAUGUACUUCCUGCAGUGCAGUUAGAAAUGCCCAUCCGACUCUGCUUGCAAAGUUCCUUUAUUUAUAGGCACAGCUGCUUAAAGACUGUUACCGGAAAGGAAUCCUGAUCCAGACGCCAAGAGAGGGUUCUUGGACUCAUGCAAGAAAGACUUCAGAAUACGAGUUUUGAAUUUUUGAAUUGCUGUUAAAACUUUCAUCAUGAACACUGAAGUGAGUGAAAAGAGACUUUUGCAGUCAUUUUUUUGCUGGCUGCAGAUGACAGUGACACCCUGGGAGUUGAGAAAUGCUUGUAAGAUGGAAGGAGGCUGUGUCCCUGAAUGAUCACCUGGAAGAGAGCCACCUUAGCCAAUGAAACUCCUGCUAUGAAUGUUUGCUGAGCAAGAAAUAUACUUACUGCUUUAUAUGCCUUUGAAGCUAUAGGUUCAUAUUGUUACCACAAUUUAAAGUGCUAUAAUAAAAAGAGUUCAGGAAGCAGGCACAUGGAAGCAAUAAGAGCAACAAACAUUUACACAGGACAGAGAUCAUGGAAGUUGGGCCCGACUGGAUGAGAUUUGGGGGUCUUUGGAAGUGGAGAAUGUGUUUGCCCUGGGGAAGAGAGGUGAUGUCUAGGAGACCUCUUCACUCAGGGCAAGCUCUAUGACCUGCUUUGACUCCAGAAUGUGGUAGAAGUGGCAUCACAUAAAUUGCAGAGCCUAGGCUUCAAGAGACCUUGCAACUUGCCUCUCACUGACUUGAAGUGCUCCCAUCAGAGCAUCUUGUAAGGAGCAGGUGGAGCAUGUGGACAAGCCAUCCCCACCAGCCCCUGAGACAUGUGAGAGAGGCCAGAACAGGCCAUCCGGACCCCACUGUGCUGGUGGAUGAGACAGCAGAAGGAAUAUCAACCUACCAACAGAAUCCUGAGAAAUGCUCACUCUUACUUCAAGCUGCUGCAUUUUGAUGUUAUGAAACCAUAAAUAACUUAUGAAGUCAUCUUUGCUGACUUAAAGUUUUCCAUAACUUUAUUAUAACAUAUCAAAAUUAUGAAAAAUGUGAAAAGUAGAAA